GACGAACCGAGCGAACGUUGUUCGGAAUCACUGGGCUUAAAGGGCGCGUAGGCGGGUGCUCAAGUCUGUGGUGAAAUCCUCCGGCUCAACCGGAGAACUGCCAUGGAUACUGGGUGCCUCGAGGGUGAUAGGGGUAUGCGGAACUAUCGGUGGAGCGGUGAAAUGCGUUGAUAUCGAUAGGAACUCCGGAGGCGAAGGCGGCAUACUGGAUCACUUCUGACGCUGAGGCGCGAAAGCCAGGGGAGCGAACGGG
Molecule: ribosomal RNA, 253 nt
Filed under: uncultured bacterium
Lineage: Bacteria
Description: partial 16S ribosomal RNA
Rfam family: Bacterial small subunit ribosomal RNA
Source: RNAcentral